CCUACGGGAGGCAGCAGUGAGGAAUAUUGGUCAAUGGGCGAGAGCCUGAACCAGCCAAGUCGCGUGAGGGAGUACUGCCCUAUGGGUUGUAAACCUCUUUUGUCGGGGAGCAAAAGCCGGACGUGUCCGGCUGUGAGAGUGCCCGAAGAAAAAGCAUCGGCUAACUCCGUGCCAGCAGCCGCGGUAAUACGGGGGAUGCGAGCGUUAUCCGGAUUUAUUGGGUUUAAAGGGUGCGCAGGCGGAUUUUUAAGUCAGCGGUAAAAUCGUGGGGCUCAACCCCAUCCAGCCGUUGAAACUGGGGAUCUAGAGUGUGCGAGAGGUAUGCGGAAUGCGUGGUGUAGCGGUGAAAUGCAUAGAUAUCACGCAGAACCCCGAUUGCGAAGGCAGCAUACCGGUGCACAACUGACGCUCAGGCACGAAAGCGUGGGUAUCGAACAGGAUUAGAUACCCCGGUAGUC
This 458-nucleotide ribosomal RNA is filed under the name uncultured bacterium. RNAcentral's name for it is "partial 16S ribosomal RNA". It matches the Rfam family "Bacterial small subunit ribosomal RNA", at positions 338 to 795 of the family's 1533-position model. The record is from RNAcentral.